RNAcentral lists this ribosomal RNA (913 nucleotides) under uncultured bacterium. Its description in RNAcentral is "bacterial SSU rRNA". It matches the Rfam family "Bacterial small subunit ribosomal RNA", at positions 8 to 916 of the family's 1533-position model. The record is from RNAcentral.
AGAGUUUGAUCCUGGCUCAGGAUGAACGCUAGCUACAGGCUUAACACAUGCAAGUCGAGGGGCAGCAUGAGAUUAGCUUGCUAAUCUUGAUGGCGACCGGCGCACGGGUGAGUAACGCGUAUCCAACCUUCCCUUUACUCUGGGAUAGCCCGGUGAAAACCGGAUUAACACCGGAUGGGUUCACAUGACGGCAUCAGACUGUGAAUAAAGGUUACGGUAAAGGAUGGGGAUGCGUCUGAUUAGCUUGUUGGCGGGGUAACGGCCCACCAAGGCAACGAUCAGUAGGGGUUCUGAGAGGAAGGUCCCCCACAUUGGAACUGAGACACGGUCCAAACUCCUACGGGAGGCAGCAGUGAGGAAUAUUGGUCAAUGGACGAGAGUCUGAACCAGCCAAGUAGCGUGCAGGAUGACGGCCCUAUGGGUUGUAAACUGCUUUUGUACGGGAAUAAAGUGACCUACGUGUAGGUUUUUGCAUGUACCGUAAGAAUAAGGACCGGCUAAUUCCGUGCCAGCAGCCGUGGUAAUACGGAAGGUCCGGGCGUUAUCCGGAUUUAUUGGGUUUAAAGGGAGCGUAGGCCGUGCUUUAAGCGUGUUGUGAAAUGUAGGCGCCCAACGUCUGCACUGCAGCGCGAACUGGAGCACUUGAGUACGCAGGAAGUAGGCGGAAUUCGUCGUGUAGCGGUGAAAUGCUUAGAUAUGACGAAGAACUCCGAUUGGGAAGCCAGCUUACUGUAGCGCCACUGACGCUGAUGCUCGAAAGCGUGGGUAUCGAACAGGAUUAGAUACCCUGGUAGUCCACGCGGUAAACGAUGGAUGCUCGCUGUAUGCCUUUUUGGUAUGUGGCCAAGGGAAACCAUUAAGCAUCCCACCUGGGGAGUACGCCGGCAACGGUGAAACUCAAAGGAAUUGACGG